AGUGAACGCUGGCGGUAGGCCUAACACAUGCAAGUCGAACGGCAGCACAGGAGAGCUUGCUCUCUGGGUGGCGAGUGGCGGACGGGUGAGGAAUACAUCGGAAUCUGCCCAGUCGUGGGGGAUAACGUAGGGAAACUUACGCUAAUACCGCAUACGACCUUCGGGUGAAAGAGGGGGAUCGCAAGACCUCUCGCGAUUGGGUGAGCCGAUGUCGGAUUAGCUAGUUGGCGGGGUAAUGGCCCACCAAGGCGACGAUCCGUAGCUGGUCUGAGAGGAUGAUCAGCCACACUGGAACUGAGACACGGUCCAGACUCCUACGGGAGGCAGCAGUGGGGAAUAUUGGACAAUGGGCGCAAGCCUGAUCCAGCCAUACCGCGUGGGUGAAGAAGGCCUUCGGGUUGUAAAGCCCUUUUGUUGGGAAAGAAAUCUUUCAGGCUAAUACCCUGGGAGGAUGACGGUACCCAAAGAAUAAGCACCGGCUAACUUCGUG
Molecule: ribosomal RNA, 490 nt
Filed under: uncultured bacterium
Lineage: Bacteria
Description: partial 16S ribosomal RNA
Rfam family: Bacterial small subunit ribosomal RNA
Source: RNAcentral